CAAUAGCGUAUAUUAAAGUUGUUGCAGUUAAAAAGCUCGUAGUUGGAUUUCUGUCAAGGACAACUGGUCCGCCCUCCGGGUGAGCACAUAGUUUGGUCUUGGCAUCUUGCUGGAAACUGUUGCUGCGCUUGGUUGUGUGGUGCAGCUUUCAGCACUUUCACUUUGAGGAAAUUGGAGUGUUUCAAGCAGGCACAUGCCUUUGGACACAGUAGCAUGGAAUAAUUAGAUUGGGCUUUUGCUCCAACUUGUUGGUUCCUGGAGCUGAGGUGAGAAUCAAUGGGGAUUGUUGGGGGCAUCCGAAUUUAGCCGUCAGAGGUGAAAUUCUUGGAUCUGCUAAAGACGGACAACUGCGAAAGCGUUUGCCCAGGAUGUUUUCAUUGA
RNAcentral lists this ribosomal RNA (381 nucleotides) under uncultured eukaryote. RNAcentral's name for it is "partial 18S ribosomal RNA". It matches the Rfam family "Eukaryotic small subunit ribosomal RNA", at positions 592 to 976 of the family's 1831-position model. The record is from RNAcentral.